UGAGAAAAGCAAAUUUUUCCAAAGCCA
RNAcentral lists this non-coding RNA (27 nucleotides) under Mus musculus (house mouse). The record is from RNAcentral. Lineage: Eukaryota; Metazoa; Chordata; Mammalia; Rodentia; Muridae.